UCUAUUAUCGAAACACUUCCUUAAAUAGACAAAAAUUACGAGUACAACCACGUGCCGUAUUUUCUACUCGAUGACGUCAAUGACCGGAAUCUAUCGCCCACCAAUAAUAGAAAGUUACAACUAGAGGCCUUCCACGUGGUCUCCAUUAUUAAAUUUGUCAAUUGGAUCCGUAUCCGUUCGUUGUUAUCGUUUGUAUAUCUAAGAAAAAUGCAAAAUUAAGUUAAGUAGGUUUUUUCCCUCAGACGUUUGGGUGAAAAUGUGCGUUAUUAUAAAUUUCGUCCAUGCAAUUCACGGAAUAUUUAUUUCUCGUCCUUAUUGCGGGACUGAAAAUUUUGAUUACAUUUUUAUAAUUUCUAAAAUUCAUUUUGUGAUAACGCUUUGGAUGAGUGGCACAAACUUUGAAUUGCCAUCAGAAUUUGUAAAAACAAAAUUGGUUUACAAACUUUCGAUGUAAUUGUAGAGUGUCAAAGGAAGUUUGUAGCUGUGUACAAAGCAAGAAGAUUAAUUUUGUCUGUUUUUAACCGUUUAGAGCUCGACCCCUAGAUCGUCGGAAACGAAGUAGAGAAACUUUUUAUUUUGUGCUCGCUCUUUACCAAACAUUUUGUAGACUGUCAAACGAUGACAAGUAAUAAACUGUGCAACAGAGGGAAGAAUCAGAAGAUGCAGAAGUUGACCAAAUUGAGAGAUAAAGGAAUAUCCAAAUUAAAAAAGGCAGAAACAAAGGAAAUUGUAAAAAAGAUAGUUGAGGCAGAAAUACCAAGAACCUGUUGUAUAAAUCAUUUACAAUGUUUACUAAAGCAUUUUUGAGGAGUUUUAUAUAACAAAAUUUUUAAGUUGUCAUCUGUUUAAACUUUAUCUAAAAAUUAAUUCUAUUUGUUGUCAGAAUGGGUAUUGAUAGGAGCUUUUGAGAAAGGAAUUGCUACAUCUUAAGCAAUGGAGUUUUAUAUUUUUUUCCAAAAAAUUGUCUCGAGAAGUCGAAGAGAGGAGAUUUAGAAGUGCACGUAUAAAUUAUUUGGCAUGAAUUUCGUAGAGACAGCUCCAUUUCCGACAUUACAAAAACUAGUCGUACAGCAAGAUCUGCACAGAUAGAGCUUUGUCCGUUCUCCCAGAAUGAUGCAACCUUCUUCACAACGUUUGCUGCAGUUUCUUUCUACCGACCAAAAGGUGACUGGUUGACCUUCCAGGUUAUAUUCAAAUUUAAUAACCUGCUCGAUUAAAAUAAUUUAUGGUCGAGAAAUAAAAAACGAAAACAAACGAUUAUCGAAAGUUAUUACGACGUAGAAGUCAAAAGAAUUAUUUGAAAUGUUAUGUACUUACCGUACAAAAUAAUUCAUUUUCGGAACAAGAACGUUUAAGUGAAUGUGAAUAAUUAUUUGGUAAAGUUCUGCAGUUUUCUUUAUCGUCUAUUG
Molecule: long non-coding RNA, 1409 nt
Filed under: Centruroides sculpturatus (bark scorpion)
Lineage: Eukaryota; Metazoa; Arthropoda; Arachnida; Scorpiones; Buthidae
Description: uncharacterized LOC111620596, transcript variant X1
Source: RNAcentral